RNAcentral lists this ribosomal RNA (495 nucleotides) under uncultured bacterium. Its description in RNAcentral is "partial 16S ribosomal RNA". It matches the Rfam family "Bacterial small subunit ribosomal RNA", at positions 28 to 507 of the family's 1533-position model. The record is from RNAcentral.
GAUGAACGCUGGCGGCGUGCCUAAUACAUGCAAGUAGAACGCUGAAGGAGGAGCUUGCUCUUCUGGAUGAGUUGCGAACGGGUGAGUAACGCGUAGGUAACCUGCCUGGUAGCGGGGGAUAACUAUUGGAAACGAUAGCUAAUACCGCAUGACAACAGUUAUUGCAUGAUAACUGUUUAAAAGGGGCAACUGCUCCACUACCAGAUGGACCUGCGUUGUAUUAGCUAGUUGGUGAGGUAACGGCUCACCAAGGCGACGAUACAUAGCCGACCUGAGAGGGGGAUCGGCCACACUGGGACUGAGACACGGCCCAGACUCCUACGGGAGGCAGCAGUAGGGAAUCUUCGGCAAUGGACGGAAGUCUGACCGAACAACGCCGCGUGAGUGAAGAAGGUUUUCGGAUCGUAAAGCUCUGUUGUAAGAGAAGAACGAGUGUGAGAGUGGAAAGUUCACACUGUGACGGUAUCUUACCAGAAAGGGACGGCUAACUACGUG